GGAAAAUCCCUGGAGACCAAAGUUUUCCAUUUUAUUUCAGAACAGUUCUAGCCCAGACAUCUGUUCCAAGUCCCCCUCCCUGUUCACAUCCACAUACCACAACUCUGACCCAGAGAGCAACUCCAGGAGGAAGCUGGUAAUUCAGUCUCCGGUCUCUUAAAUCUGUGAUUCU
This 172-nucleotide small RNA is filed under the name Phascolarctos cinereus (koala). Its description in RNAcentral is "TUC338 (ENSPCIG00000003827.2)". Lineage: Eukaryota; Metazoa; Chordata; Mammalia; Diprotodontia; Phascolarctidae. The record is from RNAcentral.